AACGGCCGUACCAUGCUGAAUAUACCGGUUCUCGUUAGAUCACCGAAGUUAAGCAUCAUUGGGCGCGGUCAGUUCUUGGGUGGGUGACCACCUGGGAC
RNAcentral lists this ribosomal RNA (98 nucleotides) under Caerostris darwini. Lineage: Eukaryota; Metazoa; Arthropoda; Arachnida; Araneae; Araneidae. The record is from RNAcentral.